GUACUGCUGACGGGUCCCACAAUAGAAGGAAACGGCCGUCCAGUGC
RNAcentral lists this non-coding RNA (46 nucleotides) under Schistosoma mattheei. The record is from RNAcentral. Lineage: Eukaryota; Metazoa; Platyhelminthes; Trematoda; Strigeidida; Schistosomatidae.